RNAcentral lists this ribosomal RNA (253 nucleotides) under uncultured bacterium. Its description in RNAcentral is "partial 16S ribosomal RNA". It matches the Rfam family "Bacterial small subunit ribosomal RNA", at positions 524 to 776 of the family's 1533-position model. The record is from RNAcentral.
UACAGAGGAUGCGAGUGUUAUUCGGAAUUAUUGGGCGUAAAGCGUUUGUAGGUAGGGUUUAAAGUCUUUUGUAAAAUAUUUAAGCUUAACUUAAAAAAUAUAAAAGAUACUUAUUCUCUUGAGUGUGGUAAAGGUACAGGGAAUUUUCAAUGGAGCGUCUAAGUGUGUCGAGAAUGAAGAGAACAUCAUACGCGAAGGCAUUGUACUACAACAACACUGACACUGAAGAACGAAAGCUAAGGGAGCGAACGGG